AACGAACGCUGGCGGCGCGUCUUAAACAUGCAAGUCGAACGAUCUGUAGCAAUACAGGGAGUGGCGGACGGGUGAGGAACACGUAGGAAUCUACCUUGAAGAGCGGGACAACUUUGGGAAACCGGGGCUAAUACCGCAUAGUACGGAGAUGUUAAAGGGCUAGCAAUAGUCGCUUCGAGAUGAGCCUGCGGUCUAUCAGCUUGUUGGUGAGGUAAUGGCUCACCAAGGCUACGACGGAUAGCCGGUCUGAGAGGAUGAUCGGCCACACUGGCACUGAGACACGGGCCAGACUCCUACGGGAGGCAGCAGUUAAGAAUCUUGCGCAAUGGGGGAAACCCUGACGCAGCGACGCCGCGUGAAGGAUGAAGGCUUUCGGGUUGUAAACUUCGGUAGACUGGGAAGAAGAAAUACGUCGUUGAGGGCAUAUAGUGACGGUACCAGUCUGAAGCCCCGGCUAAUUACGUGCCAGCAG
RNAcentral lists this ribosomal RNA (472 nucleotides) under uncultured bacterium. RNAcentral's name for it is "bacterial SSU rRNA". It matches the Rfam family "Bacterial small subunit ribosomal RNA", at positions 29 to 514 of the family's 1533-position model. The record is from RNAcentral.